This 498-nucleotide ribosomal RNA is filed under the name uncultured bacterium. Its description in RNAcentral is "bacterial SSU rRNA". It matches the Rfam family "Bacterial small subunit ribosomal RNA", at positions 29 to 517 of the family's 1533-position model. The record is from RNAcentral.
AGUGAACGCUGGCGGCAGGCCUAACACAUGCAAGUCGAACGGCAGCACAGAGGAGCUUGCUCCUUGGGUGGCGAGUGGCGGACGGGUGAGGAAUACAUCGGAAUCUGCCUAGUCGUGGAGGAUAACGUAGGGAAACUUACGCUAAUACCGCAUACGACCUACGGGUGAAAGCGGGGAUCGCAAGACCUCGCGCGAUUAGAUGAGCCGAUGUCCGAUUAGCUAGUUGGCGGGGUAAUGGCCCACCAAGGCGACGAUCGGUAGCUGGUCUGAGAGGAUGAUCAGCCACACUGGAACUGAGACACGGUCCAGACUCCUACGGGAGGCAGCAGUGGGGAAUAUUGGACAAUGGGCGCAAGCCUGAUCCAGCCAUGCCGCGUGGGUGAAGAAGGCCUCGGUUGUAAGCCUUUGUCCGGAAAUGAAAGCACUGGAUUAAUNCUUCAGGUGUUCGUGACGGUACCGGAAAGGAAUAAGCACCGGCUAACUUCGUGCCAGCAGCCG